Non-coding RNA from Siniperca chuatsi (mandarin fish), 968 nucleotides. NCBI's taxonomy places the organism in Eukaryota, Metazoa, Chordata, Actinopteri, Centrarchiformes, Sinipercidae. The record is from the annotation of a RefSeq genome assembly.
AAAUAAUUUUUCUAGAUGAUGUUUGGUUUGUUGAGUUUGUGUUAUGCUGCUUCAUGUUGUGUGACUACUGGAAAUCAAUUUAGGAUCAUCUUUGGAAGUGGAGCCAGAUUAACCAUUGAACCCAAUGACGAGUACAAGCCGUCCUACUAUACAGUGGAAGGCAAUGACACCACGGCAUGCCUGGCCACUGGUUUCAGCAGACACAACGCAACACAAUCAGAUGACCAUAAGGAUUUGUUCAGUGAGACAGAGGCCGUCCGGAUAUCAGAAGACUCGCUGUACAACCAGGUGGCUGUGUUAUCAAAUGGAGAGACAUGUGAGAUUGAGGGUCAAGGAUCUGAUAGCACAAAAGGUGAAAGUCUGAAGUGUGAAGAUACUUUGGAGCCAGAUCCAACAGUGAACUUCAUGUCUCUGACCGUCCUGGGCCUCAGGCUGCUCUUGAUGAAGACCAUCGUCUUCAACGGCCUGAUGACCCUCCGGCUGUGGAUGAGUCAGUAAACUCUUCAGACCUUCACCAGAGAAAAACCACAAGCUGAAUCACAGAACAACUUUCUGAUGGUCAUCGCUCAGCUUCAUUUCUUCUUUCAUCACUGUCUCAUAUAUCUGCUUCAUGUAUAGCAACAUGUUUAAAUAUCAUAUCACCUGUUAAUCUGUUAAUAUCAUCAUACUGCCGACAGACAUGAAGGCAUCCUGUGAUACAUGUAAUCUUUAUUAUGCUGGAGAAGUUGUUGUUUUUUGGUUUUGAUGAAUGAAUUUAGACUCUUUCUGUCCUGCGGAUGUAAAUAUCACAGUCUGACGCUCUGUCCUGCUUUCAGUAAAAACUCGAAAGGAAACUUUUUAAAUACUUUUUUGUGAUAUUUCCUUUGCAACGUUACAAUAAAUAUUAUAUAUAUUGUUGACAUUGACUUUACUUCAUACAGACGUCACUGCUGUAUCUGUAAAAAUAAAAAUAAUAACUGCAAAAUCAA